This 253-nucleotide ribosomal RNA is filed under the name uncultured bacterium. RNAcentral's name for it is "partial 16S ribosomal RNA". It matches the Rfam family "Bacterial small subunit ribosomal RNA", at positions 524 to 776 of the family's 1533-position model. The record is from RNAcentral.
UACAGAGGGUGCAAGCGUUGUUCGGAAUUACUGGGCGUAAAGGGCGUGUAGGCGGCCAACUAAGUCCGACGUGAAAUCCCCAGGCUUAACCUGGGAACUGCGUCGGAUACUGGAUGGCUUGAAUCCGGGAGAGGGAUGCAGAAUUCCAGGUGUAGCGGUGAAAUGCGUAGAUAUCUGGAGGAAUACCGGUGGCGAAGGCGGCAUCCUGGACCGGCAUUGACGCUGAAGCGCGAAAGCUAGGGGAGCAAACGGG